This 377-nucleotide ribosomal RNA is filed under the name uncultured Glomus. Its description in RNAcentral is "SSU rRNA". It matches the Rfam family "Eukaryotic small subunit ribosomal RNA", at positions 569 to 954 of the family's 1831-position model. The record is from RNAcentral. Lineage: Eukaryota; Fungi; Glomeromycota; Glomeromycetes; Glomerales; Glomeraceae.
AGCAGCCGCGGUAAUUCCAGCUCCAAUAGCGUAUAUUAAAGUUGUUGCAGUUAAAAAGCUCGUAGUUGAAUUUCGGAAUCAAUUUGUCGGUCGUGCUUCGGUACGUACUGUCAUUAUUGGUUUCUCCCUUCUGAAGAACCGCGAUGUCAUUAAUUUGGUGUCGUGGGGAAUCAGGACUGUUACUUUGAAAAAUUGAGUGUUUAAAGCAGGCUCGCGCUUGAAUACAUUAGCAUGGAAUAAUGAAAUAGGACGUUUGAUUCUAUUUUGUUGGUUUCUAGGAUCGACGUAAUGAUUAAUAGGGAUAGUUGGGGCAUUAGUAUUCAAUUGUCAGAGGUGAAAUUCUUGGAUUUAUUGAAGACUAACUACUGCGAAAGCUA